AUGUUGAUGCAAGACUACUUCACGGACAAUCCUACCUAUCCGUCGCACCUCUUUCUGAGAAGGUAUCGAAUGUGUCGAUCCCUCUUCGUAAAAAUUGUGCAAGCUUGCAAGGCCAAUUAUCGAUCUUUUACUCAAAGGAGAAAUGUCGCGGGCUUGUUGGGUUUUAGCUCAUACCAAAACAUCUCGGGAGCUAUGCGGGUGAUUGCAUGUGGCAUUCCGGUUGACUAUGCCGACGAGUAUCUUCGCACUGGCGAAGAUAGUACAAUUGAGUCAGUGCGUAGGUUCGCCAAAGUGAUCAUCCGCGUCUUUGGUCUUGUCUAUCUUCGCACACCCAAUGAGGAAGACACUAAAAGUUGA
RNAcentral lists this ribosomal RNA (357 nucleotides) under Triticum aestivum (bread wheat). RNAcentral describes it as "partial small subunit ribosomal RNA". Lineage: Eukaryota; Viridiplantae; Streptophyta; Magnoliopsida; Poales; Poaceae. The record is from RNAcentral.